Molecule: ribosomal RNA, 486 nt
Filed under: uncultured bacterium
Lineage: Bacteria
Description: partial 16S ribosomal RNA
Rfam family: Bacterial small subunit ribosomal RNA
Source: RNAcentral
GACGAACGCUGGCGGCGUGCUUAACACAUGCAAGUCGAACGCUGAAGACCUGGCUUUUGUUGGGUUGGAUGAGUGGCGAACGGGUGAGUAACACGUGAGUAACCUGCCCUCUUCUUUGGGAUAACGCCCGGAAACGGGUGCUAAUACUGGAUAUUCACUGAUCUUCGCAUGGGGGUUGGUGGAAAGGUUUGUUCUGGGGGGGGAUGGGCUCGCGGCCUAUCAGCUUGUUGGUGGGGUGAUGGCCUACCAAGGCUUUGACGGGUAGCCGGCCUGAGAGGGGGACCGGUCAAAUUGGGACUGAGAUACGGCCCAAACUCCUACGGGAGGCAGCAGUGGGGAAUAUUGCACAAUGGGCGAAAGCCUGAGGCAGCGACGCCGCGUGAGGGAUGGAGGCCUUCGGGUUGUAAACCUCUUUCGCUCAUGGUCAAGCCGCAACUGUGGGUUGUGGUGAGGGUAGUGGGUAAAGAAGCGCCGGCUAACUACGUG